RNAcentral lists this transfer RNA (74 nucleotides) under Podarcis lilfordi (Lilford's wall lizard). It matches the Rfam family "tRNA". From Rfam's summary of the family: Transfer RNA (tRNA) molecules are approximately 80 nucleotides in length. Lineage: Eukaryota; Metazoa; Chordata; Lepidosauria; Squamata; Lacertidae. The record is from Rfam by way of RNAcentral.
GCCUGGAUAGCUUAGUUGGUUAGAGCAUGGUGCUGAUAACACUAAGGUUUCAGGUUUGAACCCCGUAUGGGACA